RNAcentral lists this ribosomal RNA (253 nucleotides) under uncultured bacterium. Its description in RNAcentral is "partial 16S ribosomal RNA". It matches the Rfam family "Bacterial small subunit ribosomal RNA", at positions 524 to 776 of the family's 1533-position model. The record is from RNAcentral.
UACGAAGGGGGCUAGCGUUGCUCGGAAUCACUGGGCGUAAAGGGUGCGUAGGCGGGGCUUUAAGUCAGGGGUGAAAUCCUGGAGCUCAACUCCAGAACUGCCUUUGAUACUGAAGAUCUUGAGUUCGGGAGAGGUGAGUGGAACUGCGAGUGUAGAGGUGAAAUUCGUAGAUAUUCGCAAGAACACCAGCGGCGAAGGCGGCUCACUGGCCCGAUACUGACGCUGAGGCACGAAAGCGUGGGGAGCAAACAGG